This is a long non-coding RNA of Carassius auratus (goldfish), 237 nucleotides long. RefSeq lists it as uncharacterized. The record is from RefSeq and is a predicted model, not a curated record. Lineage: Eukaryota; Metazoa; Chordata; Actinopteri; Cypriniformes; Cyprinidae. The transcript has 3 exons.
AGACGAGCUAUACUAUCCGAUUUUUGUUACUUAAUGUUUGUGAAUCAUAUCAUUGUGGAUCGUAUUUUGGAGCUGUUUGUGAUUAACGUUACAUCAACUGGUUGUGGUCAUCUGUCAUGUCAUCUGUAAAGGAGGUGUAUCGGAGUCUUUUCUUGUGAUUACCAUCGUAGCGGUGCUAACAACAGGAGAUUUCUCCCAGCAGAAACACAGGUGCUGAUUAUGAGGAGCUCAUCAUAU